GGAGAGGUACCGAAGUGGUCAUAACGGAGCCGCCUCGAAAGCGGUUAGUCCCCUUAAGGGACACGUGGGUUCGAAUCCCACCCUCUCCG
This 89-nucleotide transfer RNA is filed under the name bacterium. RNAcentral describes it as "tRNA-Ser". It matches the Rfam family "tRNA". Rfam says of the family: Transfer RNA (tRNA) molecules are approximately 80 nucleotides in length. Their secondary structure includes four short double-helical elements and three loops (D, anti-codon, and T loops). The record is from RNAcentral.